Molecule: ribosomal RNA, 465 nt
Filed under: uncultured bacterium
Lineage: Bacteria
Description: partial 16S ribosomal RNA
Rfam family: Bacterial small subunit ribosomal RNA
Source: RNAcentral
GACGAACGCUGGCGGCGUGCUUAACACAUGCAAGUCGAACGGUAAGGCUCCAGCUUGCUGGGGUACACGAGUGGCGAACGGGUGAGUAACACGUGGGUGACCUGCCCUGCACUUCGGGAUAAGCCUGGGAAACUGGGUCUAAUACCGGAUAGGACCGCACCGUGAGGGUGUGGUGGAAAGUUUUUUCGGUGUGGGAUGGGCUCGCGGCAUAUCAGCUUGUUGGUGGGGUAAUGGCCUACCAAGGCGGCGACGGGUAGCCGGCCUGAGAGGGUGGACGGCCACAUUGGGACUGAGACACGGCCCAGACUCCUACGGGAGGCAGCAGUGGGGAAUAGUGCACAAUGGGCGGAAGCCUUAUGCAGCGACUCCGCGUGGGGGAUGACGGCCUUCGGGUUGUAAACUCCUUUCACCAUCGACGAAGGGUUUCUGACGGUAGAUGGAGAAGAAGCACCGGCUAACUACGUG